AAUGCUAAAAGAAUGGAAGUUUAAGAAAAAACUUUUUUAAAAAUAAAAAUUAAAUUUUUUUUAAUUUGUGCAAAACCAAUUAUUUAUAUUAAAGACAAGAAGACCCUAUGAAUUUAUGGUUAAAUAAACUAAAAAUUUUUAGUUUAUUUAAUCUUGAUUGGGGCAAUCAAAAAAUAUUAAUAACUUUUUUAAAUUUAAAUGAUCUAUUAUUAAUAAUCUAAUGGAAUAAAUACUCUAGGGAUAACAGCGUA
RNAcentral lists this ribosomal RNA (251 nucleotides) under Hyalomma dromedarii. RNAcentral's name for it is "partial large subunit ribosomal RNA". Lineage: Eukaryota; Metazoa; Arthropoda; Arachnida; Ixodida; Ixodidae. The record is from RNAcentral.